Molecule: ribosomal RNA, 243 nt
Filed under: uncultured Actinomycetales bacterium
Lineage: Bacteria; Bacillati; Actinomycetota; Actinomycetes; Actinomycetales
Description: partial 16S ribosomal RNA
Rfam family: Bacterial small subunit ribosomal RNA
Source: RNAcentral
UACUCGAGUGGCGAACGGGUGAGUAACACGUGGGUGAUCUGCCCUGCACUUCGGGAUAAGCCUGGGAAACUGGGUCUAAUACCGGAUAGGAACCGUCUUUAGUGUGGUGGUUGGAAAGUUUUUUCGGUGCAAGAUGAGCUCGCGGCCUAUCAGCUUGUUGGUGGGGUAAUGGCCUACCAAGGCGUCGACGGGUAGCCGGCCUGAGAGGGUGUACGGCCACAUUGGGACUGAGAUACGGCACAG